CCCUUAGAUGUUCGGGGCCGCACGCGCGCUACACUGAAUGAAUCAGCGAGUGUAUGUCCUAGGCCGAAAGGUCCGGGUAACCCGUUGAACCUCAUUCGUGAUUGGGAUAGGGACUUGCAAUUGUUUCCCUUGAACGAGGAAUUCCCAGUAAGCGCAAGUCAUCAGCUUGCGUUGAUUACGUCCCUGCCCUUUGUACACACCGCCCGUCGCUGCCCGGAACUGAGCCGUUUCGAGAAGACUGGGGACUGCGAACUUUGGGCUGGAAAACAGCUUUUUGUUUGUGGAAACCACUUUAAUCGCAGCGGCUUGAACCGGGCAAAAGUCGUAACA
Molecule: ribosomal RNA, 330 nt
Filed under: uncultured eukaryote
Lineage: Eukaryota
Description: partial 18S ribosomal RNA
Rfam family: Eukaryotic small subunit ribosomal RNA
Source: RNAcentral